CACCCCAGUCGUCCGGCAAGUGUGUGAAGUUACCACAUGAAGAUCGAAUUGAAUAACCGAAAAGGUUGAAAAAAAAAUUUGAAUAUUUAAGAAUUUUCGGAGUUAUAAGGUGUUAAUUUGAAAAAGAAGCUCACAGAGCCACCCCCGGUAUCAUAUUAGUUAAAUCUCUAUUUUGAACGUUGCGAUAAAUUGGUGUCGAUUUUGCCGAAUUUCUAAAAAUCAUUUUUCGUGAACCGUUAUAUCUUGAUGAUUUUGAAAUUCGAGGUCAUUUUUGAUACAAAAUUGUGAUGUUUCGAUAUAUUUUGAAUUCUUAUAAUAUUUUACCUUCAUUAUAAUGAUUUUUGGAGUAAAGUUCUUAAUUCGUAUGAAAUUAAUUUAAGUUUAAAAGAUUUUUAAAAUUCAAAAUUUUCGAAAUCCGGUAAAGUGUAUUGGUAGCCACGAUUUUAAAACCGGUUACAGGUUUUCGAUCUUUCUCCAAACUUUAUCAAAACUUCUCCUUUCUCUUUCUUAAAACCUGUUACAGUGCACGUUCUCGAU
RNAcentral lists this long non-coding RNA (537 nucleotides) under Ananas comosus (pineapple). Its description in RNAcentral is "long non-coding RNA (ACOM_LNC036410)". Lineage: Eukaryota; Viridiplantae; Streptophyta; Magnoliopsida; Poales; Bromeliaceae. The record is from RNAcentral.